UCAGGCCUAACACAUGCAAGUCGAACGGCAGCACGGGUGCUUGCACCUGGUGGCGAGUGGCGAACGGGUGAGUAAUACAUCGGAACGUACCUUAUCGUGGGGGAUAACGCAGCGAAAGCUGUGCUAAUACCGCAUACGCCCUGAGGGGGAAAGCGGGGGAUCGCAAGACCUCGCGCGAUUAGAGCGGCCGAUGCCUGAUUAGCUAGUUGGUGGGGUAAAAGCCCACCAAGGCGACGAUCAGUAGCUGGUCUGAGAGGACGAUCAGCCACACUGGGACUGAGACACGGCCCAGACUCCUACGGGAGGCAGCAGUGGGGAAUUUUGGACAAUGGGGGCAACCCUGAUCCAGCAAUGCCGCGUGAGUGAAGAAGGCCUUCGGGUUGUAAAGAAUGUUGUCAGGGAAGAAACACCGGCUCAACACAGUCCGGGA
This 430-nucleotide ribosomal RNA is filed under the name uncultured bacterium. Its description in RNAcentral is "bacterial SSU rRNA". It matches the Rfam family "Bacterial small subunit ribosomal RNA", at positions 42 to 469 of the family's 1533-position model. The record is from RNAcentral.